Molecule: small nuclear RNA, 107 nt
Organism: Suncus etruscus (white-toothed pygmy shrew)
Lineage: Eukaryota; Metazoa; Chordata; Mammalia; Eulipotyphla; Soricidae
Source: RefSeq, a predicted model, not a curated record
GUGCUCACUUUGGCAACACAUAUACUAAAAUUAGAAUGAUACAUAGAAGAUUAGCAUGGCCCCUGUAUAAAUAUGUCACACAAAUUCAUGAAGUGUUCCAUAUUUUA